GUUCUCAUUGAGGCCCGUUAUCGGAAUGAGUACAAUCCAAACCCUUUAACGAGGAUCUAUCAGAGGGCAAGUCUGGUGCCAGCAGCCGCGGUAAUUCCAGCUCUGAAGGUGUAUACCACCGUUGUUGCGGUUAAAACGCUCGUAGUUGGAUCUACGUUCGUGGGGUCGGUGUUCUCGUUUGAGUUCUACUGACUACCUGAACUGAAACCUGGUUUUCCCUUGGUGCUCUUUAUUGGGUGCCCUGGGUGGCUAGCAAGUUUACUUUGAAAAAAUUAGAGUGCUCAAAACAGGCGCAUGCCUGAAUAGUGGUGCAUGGAAUAAUGGAAUAGGAUCUUGGUCCUAUUUUGCUGGUUUUCGGGAGCCAAGAUAAUGAUUAAGAGGGACAGACGGGGGCAUUCGUAUUGCAGCGUUAGAGGUGAAAUUCUUGGAUCGUUGCAAGACGAACAACUGCGAAAGCAUUUGCCAAGAAUGUUUUCAUUAAUCAAGAACGAAAGUUAGAGGUUCGAAGGCGAUCAGAUACCGCCCUAGUUCUAACCGUAAACGAUGCCAACUCGCGAUCUAGUGGUGUUAUUAUGACCCGCUAGGGAGCGUCCCGGAAACGAAAGUUUUUCGGUUCCGGGGGAAGUAUGGUUGCAAAUCUGAAACUUAAAGGAAUUGACGGAAGGGCACCACCAGGAGUGGAGCCUGCGGCUUAAUUUGACCCAACACGGGAAAACUCACCCGGCCCGGACACCGUAAGGAUUGACAGAUUGAGAGCUCUUUCUUGAUUCGGUGGGUGGUGGUGCAUGGCCGUUCUUAGUUGGUGGAGCGAUUUGUCUGGUUAAUUCCGAUAACGAACGAGACUCUAUCCUACUAAAUAGCAAGCGGAUCAGCCCAGUCCGCAGUGCUUCUUAGAGGGACAAGCAGCUUUUAGCUGCACGAAAGUGAGCAAUAACAGGUCUGUGAUGCCCUUAGAUGUCCGGGGCUGCACGCGCGCUACACUGAAAGGAUCAGCGUGCAAGAUACCUUCCCCGAGAGGGGUGGGUAACCCAAUCAAAACCUUUCGUGAUUGGGAUAGGAGAUUGCAAUUAUUCUCCUUGAACGAGGAAUUCCCAGUAAGUGUGGGUCAUCAGCUCGCGCUGAUUACGUCCCUGCCCUUUGUACACACCGCCCGUCGCUGCCCGGAACUGAGCCGUUUCGAGAAGAACAGGGACUGCUGUUUGGUGGCCUUCGGGUUGCCUCUUGGCGGAAACUGUUUU
RNAcentral lists this ribosomal RNA (1238 nucleotides) under metagenome. RNAcentral describes it as "SSU rRNA". It matches the Rfam family "Eukaryotic small subunit ribosomal RNA", at positions 488 to 1760 of the family's 1831-position model. The record is from RNAcentral.